RNAcentral lists this long non-coding RNA (4344 nucleotides) under Arabidopsis lyrata. RNAcentral's name for it is "long non-coding RNA (ALYR_LNC000703)". The record is from RNAcentral. Lineage: Eukaryota; Viridiplantae; Streptophyta; Magnoliopsida; Brassicales; Brassicaceae.
AUGAUGAUCUAUGCAACAUGAUCCUUAAGAGUUGUUAGAUUGAUCGGCGUGGUAACACAAAAGGUCCAAAAACGAAUAACUAUCUCAUUCGCCGGAGUUUCCAGCCAUUUCUUCCCGAUUCUCGGAUUUUUCUUGGGAAUCAAACGCGUCGCCGAGAAUCGGAAGAGAAGGAAAAGGGUAUGACAUCGAGAAACCUGAGGUUGUUCAAUCGGAGAUUCUUCGACCGAUCUCCACAGCGGUUAAGAGCUUUCCUUAAUCCGAUUUCUGUUAUUUGCUUGUUUGGAUUUGGUCUCCAUGAAUCUGUCACUACAAAGUCUUACUUUUUUGUUUAUGAUGUAUUCGCAGGCUUGGUGAAGGAUUGCCCUGGCGUGCGUAAAGAUCUUCGAAUCCCGGAAGAGAUGCAGCUUUCAGCGCAGACUACGAGGAAUAUAAGAGGAUAGCCAAGAGAGGUUCGCUGUUCGCAAUAGUCGUCGUUUGUCUUGACAAUUGGUGCUAGGUGAAGUAAGUUUCAGAACAACCACGAUGACGACUCCUAGGGAUUUCACAACCACCAGGUAUGUUUUCUUUACUUUUUUUUUUUUAAUCAUAAAUCAUAAUAAUUCGAUUUUUAAAAAUAAUAUUUUUUACUAAAAUUUAAAACUUAAACUUAAAAAAAAUUUAACAAUUUUUAACUAAAACAAUGUUAAUUUCACUAUUAUUUUUUUUAAAUUAGUUUAAGUGUUAAAUUUUAAAAACGUCGAAAACUAACCGCGCCUAGACAUCCUGUCCUUAGUUGGUCUAUAAGCUUUGGUGUUCGAAGUUCGGAAAGUUUUCACGUAAUAUAGAUUUCACACUAAAACUCAUUUUUAAAAAAUAAAAAUAAUUUCUACUAAAAUUUAAAACAAAUUUAACAUUUAAACUGAAAAAAAAUUAAUAAUUUUUAACUAAAAUCAUGUUAAUUUCACUAUGACUUUUUAAAAAUUAGUUUAAAUGUUAAUUUUAAAAAUGUCGAAAACUAACUGCGCCUAGGCAUCUUGUCCUUAGUUGGUCCGUAAGCUUUAGUGUUCGAAGUUUGGAAAUUUUUUUAAAAAUAAUAAUAAUUUUCACUAAAAUUGAAAACAAAUUUAACACUUAAACUUUAAGAAAUAAUUAAUAAUUUUUAACUAAAAUACAAUGUUGAUUUAAAUAAAACCAUCUUAAAAAAAAUAAUGAUUUUAAUUUUUUUUAAAUAACACUAAAGCUUUAAGAAAAUAAUUAAUAAUCUUUAGCUAAAACCAAGUUAAUUUCACUAUUACUUUUUAAAAAUUAGUUCAAGUGUUAAAUUUUUAAAACUCAUUUCUAAACUCAUUUUUUAAAAAUAAUAAUAAUUUUCACUAAAAUUGAAAACAAACUUAACACUUAAACUUUAAGAUAUAAUUAAUAAUUUUUAACUAAAAAACCAUGUUGAUUAAAAUAAAACCAUGUUAAAAAUAAUAAUGAUUUUAAUUUUUUUUAAAUAAAAUUAAAACUUUAAGAAAAUAAUUAACAAUCUUUAACUAAAACCACGUCAAAUUACUUUUUAAAAAUUAGUUACAGUGUUAAAUUUUAAAAACUCAUUUUUAAACUUAUUUUUUAAAAAUAAUAAUAAUUUUCACUAAAAUUGAAAACAAACUUAACACUUAAACUUUAAGAAAUAAUUAAUAAUUUUUAACUAUAAAACCAUGUUGAUUUAAAUAAAACCAUGUUAAAAAGAAUAACGAUUUUAAUUUUUUUUAAAAAUAACAAUAAAACUAUUAAAAAAAUAAUUAAUAAUCUUUAGCUAAAACCAUAUUAAUUUCACUAUUACUUUUCAAAAAUUAGUUCAAGUGUUCAAUUUUAAAAACUCAUUUUUAAAUUCAUUUUAUAAAAAUAAUAAUAAUUUUCACUAAAUUUGAAAACAAACUUAACACUUAAACUUUAAGAAAUAAUUAAUAAUUUUUAACUAAGAAACCAUGUUGAUUUAAAUAAAACCAUGUUAAAAAUAAUUAUGAUUUUAAAAAAAUUUAAAAAAUAAAAUUAAAACUUUAAGAAACUAAUCAAUAAUCUUUAACUAAAACCAUGUUAAAUUACUUUUUAAAAAUUAGUUCAAGUGUUAAAUUUUAAAAACUCAUUUUUAAACUCUUGUUUUAAAAAUAAAAAUAAUUUCCACUAAAAUUGAAAACAAACUUAACACUUAAACUUUAAGAAAUAAUUAAUAAUUUUUAACUAAAAAACCAUGUUGAUUAAAAUAAAACCAUGUUAAAAAUAAUUAUGAUUUUAAAAUUGUUUUAAAAAAUAAAAACAAAACUUUAAGAAAUUUGGUAGAAGAAAUCCAAAUAAACACGAAAUCCAAAUUUUUAUUUCUAUAAAAUAAUAAUAAAUCUCCCUAAAAUUUAACACAAAUUUAACACUAUAAGCUUUAAAUCUUUUUUAAAUAAUUUUUAACUAAACUAUGUUAAUUUCACUAUUAUUUUUUAAAAAUUCGUUAAGUGUUAAAUUAAAAAAAUGUCGAAAAGUAACCGCGCAUAGGCAUCCUGUCCUUAGUUGGUCCGUAAGUUUUGGUGUUCGAAGUUCGGCAUGUUUUCACAUAAUAUAGAUUUAACACUUAAACUCAUUUUUAAAAAAAAAAUAUUAAUUUUCACUAAAAUUGAAAACAAAUAUAACACUUAAACUUUAUGAAAUAAUUAAUAAUUUUUAACUAAAAAACCCAUGUUGAUUUAAUAAAACCAUGUUAAAAAUAAUAAUGAUUUUAAUUUUUUUCUUAAAUAACACUAAAAUUUUAAGAAAAUAAUUAAUAAUCUUUAGCUAAAACCAAGUUAAUUUCACUUUACUUUUCAAAAAUUAGUUCAAUUGUUAAAUUUUAAAAACUCAUUUUUAAACUCAUUUUUAAAAAAUAAUAAUAAUUUUCACUAAAAUUGAAAACAAAUUUAACACUUAAACUUUAAGAAAUAAUUAAUAAUUUUUAACUAAAAAACCAUGUUGAUUUAAAUAAAACCAUGUUUAAAAUAAUAAUGAUUUUAAGAAAAUAAUUAGUAAUCUUUAGCUAAACGCCUAAACCAAUGGUAAUUCCACUAUUACUUUUUAAAAAUUAGUUCAAGUGUUAAAUUUUAAAAACUCAUUUUUUAAAAUAAUAAUAAUUUCACUAAAAUUGAAAACAAACUUAACACUUAAAAUUUAAGAAAGAAAUGAUAAUUUUUAACUAAAAAACCAUGUUGAUUAAAAUAAAACCAUGUUAAAAAUAAUUAUGAUUAGUUAUCAAAAAAAAAAUAAUUAUUAUGAUUUUAAAAAUAAAAUUAAAACUUUAAGAAAUUCGGUAGAAGAAAUCCAAAUUUUUAUUUCUAUAAAAUAAUAAUAAAUCUCCCUAAAAUUUAAAACAAAUUUAACACUUUAAGCUUUAAAUUUUUUUUAAUAAUUUUUAACUAAACCAUGUUAAUUUCACUAUUACUUUUUAAAAAUUAGUUAAGUGUUAAAUUUUAAAAAUGUCGAAAAGUAAUCGCGCCUAGGCAUCUUGUCCUUAAUUGGUCUGUAAGUUUUGGUGUUUAAAGUUCGGCGUUUUUUCACGUAAUAUAGAUUUAACACUUAUACUCAUUUUAAAAAAAAAAUAAUUUUCACUAAAAUUGAAAACAAAUAUAACACUUAAACUUUAAGAAAUAAUUAAUAAUUUUUAACUAAAAACCCAUGUUGAUUUAAUAAAACCAUGUUAAAAAUAAUAAUGAUUUUAAAAUUUUUAAAAAAAUAACACUAAAACUUUAAGAUAAUAAUUAAUAAUCUUUAACUAAAAUCAUCUUAAUUUCACUAUUACUUUUUAAAAAUUAGUUCAAGUGUUAAAUUUUAAAAACUCAUUUUUAAAAAAUAAUAAUAAUUUUCACUAAAUUGAAUGAAAAUUUAACACUUAAACUUUAAUGAAUAAUUAAUAUUUUUUAACUAAAAAACUAUGUUGAUUUAAAUGGGGCUUUUGCAAAAAUACCCCAUUUUUCAAUGCCACUUUUCAAAAAUACCCCUUCUUUAAAACUUUAUAAAAAAUACUCUUAAAAAUAUAAGAUUUACCCAAAUAUGUAUGUAACAUUAUUAAAACAUACACAAACUACAUUUCUAUGUAUCUAAAAUCUUAUAAAUACUUUAUAAAUACCUUAUAAAUACAUUUUAAAUACCUUUAAAAACCUUUAAAAUAUCUUGUAAAACCUUUGAAAAACCUUAAAAAUCCUUUAAAAUAACUUGUAAAACCUUUAAAAAGACCUUAUAAAACCUUAUAAAUACUUGGAUCGAGUCUUCAAGUAGUAGUUACAAUCCAUAAGUACCUUAUAAACCUAAUAAAACUUUAUAAAAAUUUCAGAUUUAAAAAAGGGCAUUUUUUAAAAUGGACAUCUA